Molecule: long non-coding RNA, 2955 nt
Filed under: Cicer arietinum (chickpea)
Lineage: Eukaryota; Viridiplantae; Streptophyta; Magnoliopsida; Fabales; Fabaceae
Description: long non-coding RNA (CARI_LNC001431)
Source: RNAcentral
UCAGGGAGUAUUUUCUCGGUCACCUCUACUUGAUGCCAAUGGUUAUCUAAUUCUUACUGUCAAUGAUGUAGUCAAAUCAGUGGCGCCACAAACACCAAGUCUGUGGUUGAAUAUUCAGGUUAAUGGAAUGUAUAAUUCAAUUCAUUCUCAUGAAAGUAAGAGAAGAUCAAAAAUAGCUAUGUUGUUUUUCUUCUUGAAUUCAAUACCUUAUAUAUACAGUGGUUUGGUUGCUUCAUCACUUCACCAUUAACCGCCAAACUUGUCGGGAUGUGUAAACCACGCGCUCUCGCUGCUAUACUCCCUCUGCUUCUUCCUUUUCUUCUAAAUUCUCUCUUUCUAGCUCUUGUUUUUGCUCAAACUAACAAGAGAUAUGAUUGGAAUACACUUGCCGGUAGGUGUUAUUUUUUUUCUUCUUCUUUUUUGUUAUUUUUUCUUCACUUGCUUAUUGCAUAUUUAAGUAGAAGAAGAAUGUUUAUGAUUAUCAUUAUGAUUAGCAAUGAAGUGGAGGGUCUUUGCUUAGUUUAUAAUUAAACUUUGAUUUGUUAAUUUGAGCUUAGAAGGGAUUUGGCUUCUCAUAAAUGUUGCUUAAUUAAAUGGUUUACCACUAUCUUAAGAUGUUUAUGAAUAGAUUUAGAUAUACGACUCUUCAAUGCAAUAUAAGAAAAAUGAAUAGAUGAAAAACUGAUGUUUUUGGACCUGAAUGUAAUUCUUGAUAUAAUCUCAUAACUUGAUACAAUUUUCCAUUUUUGAUAUGUACUUGAAGUCAAUGACUCAUGCACCUCUCUUUCCUCUAUUUUUUGUUUAUAUUUUCUUUUUCUUUUUUGGUUCCACUCUGUGCUAGGUGGCCUUCAGACUUACUCUUGUUGAUUGUUUUGCAGGUAAUCCGCCGUUGGUCAUAGCACAUGGUGGUUUUUCAGGGAUAUUUCCUGAUUCGAGUGGUGCUGCUUAUGGUUUGGCCUUAGAAACGAGCUUACCGGAUGUCGCUCUAUGGUGUGAUGUGCAAUUGACAAAAGAUGCAUCUGGGAUUUUCCUUCCAAAUGUCAACCUUUUAAAUUCUAAUUACAUUUCAUUUGCUAUCCCGAAUAAAACUACGAAUUACUCGGUUAAUGGUGUAUCCACCCGUGGCUAUUUUUCCGUGGAUUACACCUUGAAGGACUUAUCCAAUGUCUUAUGUAAGUUUCAGUCAUGAUAAAGAUGUAUUUUUAUUGAUGUAGAUUAUUGUUAUUUUGUGGAAUGAUUGAUUCUUUUGUAUGACAUAUAUGUGUUUUAUGAUUUAAGGUAUUUUCUAUGUUUGGCAUACUAGUGAGUUUUGAAGUUAUUUAUUUCUAUGGUUUUUGACAUUUUUUCACUGUUGGACAGUAUCUCAGGGAGUAUUUUCUCGGUCAACUCUACUUGAUGCCAAUGGUUAUCUAAUUCUUACUGUCAAUGAUGUAGUCAAAUCAGUGGCGCCACAAACACCAAGUCUGUGGUUGAAUAUUCAGGUUAAUGGAAUGUAUAAUUCAAUUCAUUCUCAUGAAAGUAAGAGAAGAUCAAAAAUAGCUAUGUUGUUUUUCUUCUUGAAUUCAAUACCUUAUAUAUACAGUGGUUUGGUUGCUUUAUCACUUCACCAUUAAACGCCAAACUUGUCGGGCCAAACUUGUCGGGAUGUGUAAACCACGCGCUCUCGCUGCUAUACUCCCUCUGCUUCUUCCUUUUCUUCUAAAUUCUCUCUUUCUAGCUCUUGUUUCUGCUCAAACUAACAAGAGAUAUGAUUGGAAUACACUUGCCGGUAGGUGUUAUUUUUUUUCUUCUUCUUUUUUGUUAUUUUUUCUUCACUUGCUUAUUGCAUAUUUAAGUAGAAGAAGAAUGUUUAUGAUUAUCAUUAUGAUUAGCUAUGAAGUGGAGGGUCUUAGCUUAGUUUAUAAUUAAACUUUGAUUUGUUAAUUUUAGCUUAGAAGGGAUUUGGCUUCUCAUAAAUGUUUCUUAAUUAAAUGGUUUACCACUAUGUUGAGAUGUUUAUGAAUAGAUUUAGAUAUACGACUCUUCAAUGCAAUAUAAGCAAAAUGAAUAUAUGAAAAACUGAUGUUUUUGGACCUGAAUGUAAUUCUUGAUAUAAUCUCAUAACUUGAUACAAUUUUCCAUUUUUGAAAUGUACUUGAAUUCAAUGAUUCAUGCACCUCUCUUUCCUUUAUUUUUUGUUUAUAUUUCCUUUUUCUUUUUUGGUUCCACUCUGUGCUAGGUGGCCUUCAGACUUACUCUUGUUGAUUGUUUUGCAGGUAAUCCGCCGUUGGUCAUAGCACAUGGUGGUUUUUCAGGGAUAUUUCCUGAUUCGAGUGGUGCUGCUUAUGGUUUGGCCUUAGAAACGAGCUUACCGGAUGUCGCUCUAUGGUGUGAUGUGCAAUUGACAAAAGAUGCAGCUGGGAUUUUCCUUCCAAAUGUCAACCUUUUAAAUUCUAAUUACAUUUCAUUUGCUAUCCCGAAUAAAACUACGAAUUACUCAGUUAAUGGUGUAUCCACCCGUGGCUAUUUUUCCAUGGAUUACACCUUGAAGGACUUAUCCAAUGUCUUCUGUAAGUUUCAGUCAUGAUAAAGAUGUAUUUUUAUUGAUGUAGAUUAUUGUUAUUUUGUGGAAUGAUUGAUUCUUUUGUAUGACAUAUAUGUGUUUUAUGAUUUAAGGUAUUUUCUAUGUUUGGCAUACUAGUGAGUUUUGAAGUUAUUUAUUUCUAUGGUUUUUGACAUUUUUUCAUUGCUGGACAGUAUCUCAGGGAGUAUUUUCUCGGUUACCUCUACUUGAUGCCAAUGGUUAUCUAAUUGUUACUGUCAAUGAUGUAGUCAAUUCAGUGGCGCCACAAACACCAAGUCUGGGGUUGAAUAUUCAGGAAAAUGGAAUGUAUAAUUCAAUUCAUUCUCAUGAUUUAGUCGAUCUCCUUGAUUGUUCUAAAAUUAAUUCUUGAUUUCUCUGAUAUUUUGCAGCAU